RNAcentral lists this ribosomal RNA (503 nucleotides) under uncultured bacterium. Its description in RNAcentral is "partial 16S ribosomal RNA". It matches the Rfam family "Bacterial small subunit ribosomal RNA", at positions 29 to 523 of the family's 1533-position model. The record is from RNAcentral.
AACGAACGCUGGCGGCACGUUUUAAGCAUGCAAGUCGAAUGGCAGCAGGGGCAACUCUGUGAGAAUGGCGAACGGGUGAGUAACACGUAGGUGAUCUACCUUGAGGAUGGGGAUAGCCUGUGGAAACACAGGGUAAUACCGAAUAAGCUGACGGGACUUUGGUUUUGUUAGUAAAGGUGCUACGGCACCGCCUUGAGAGGAGCCUGCGGCUGAUUAGCUAGUUGGUGGGGUAAAGGCCUACCAAGGCGACGAUCAGUAGCCGGCCUGAGAGGGUGUACGGCCACACUGGGACUGAGACACGGCCCAGACUCCUACGGUAGGCAGCAGCUAAGAAUCUUCCGCAAUGGGCGAAAGCCUGACGGAGCGAUGCCGCGUGAUCGAUGAAGGUCGAGAGAUUGUAAAGAUCUUUUCUACAUGAGGAAUAAGUCUGGGAGGGAAUGCCUGGAUGAUGACGUUAGUGUAGGAAUAAGCCCCGGCUAAUUACGUGCCAGCAGCCGCCGUAA